UUCUAUAAGACAUAAUUUAUAGUAACGCCUGCUCAAUGUAAUAAUAAAUAGCCGCAGGUAUCCUGUGCUAAGGUAGCAUAAUCACUUGCUUCUUAAUUAGAAGACUGUAUGAAGGGCUCAACACUUAAACUGAUGUCUCUCUAAAAAUUAAUAAAAUUAAAAUAAAAGUUAAAAUUCUUUUAACAAAAAGUAGGACGACAAGACCCUGAUAAACUUACUUAUUUAGUUGGGGAAACAUAUUAAUGAUUAUUUAAAAUAUUAUUACACCAUAACUUAAAUAUUAAACCAAGAUUAGUUACUACAGGGAUAACAGCGCAAUUUCUUUUUAGAGACCUUAUUCAAAAAGAAGCUUACGACCUCGAUGUUGAAUUAGUUAACCCUAUAUAGAGCAACAACUUACAAGGGCGGUCUGUUCGACCAAUAAAUAUCU
RNAcentral lists this ribosomal RNA (430 nucleotides) under Pehrforsskalia conopyga. RNAcentral's name for it is "partial 16S ribosomal RNA". It matches the Rfam family "Archaeal large subunit ribosomal RNA", at positions 1923 to 2666 of the family's 2987-position model. The record is from RNAcentral. Lineage: Eukaryota; Metazoa; Arthropoda; Arachnida; Araneae; Pholcidae.